AAAAGCUCGUAGUUGGAUCUCAGCUCCGGCCGGACGGUCCGCCUACCGGUGGUUACUGUUCGCUGCCGAGCGUUCCGGUGGCUAUCCUGGAUGAUCUUUACCGGUUGUCUUGGGUGGCCGCCAAGUUUACUUUGAAAAAAUUAGAGUGCUCAAAGCAGGCGCGACGCCUGAAUAAUUGUGCAUGGAAUAAUGGAAUAGGACCUCGGUUCUAUUUUGUUGGUUUUCGGAACACGAGGUAAUGAUUAAGAGGGACAGACGGGGGCAUUCGUAUUGCGACGCUAGAGGUGAAAUUCUUGGACCGUCGCAAGACGAACUACUGCGAAAGCAUUUGCCAAGAAUGUUUCCAUUAAUCAAGAACGAAAGUUAGAGGUUCGAAGACGAUCAGAUACCGUCCUAGUUCUAACCAUAAACGAUGCCAGCCAGCGAUCCGGCUGUGUUCCUCAAAUGACACGCCGGGCAGCUUCCGGGAAACCAAAGCUUAUGGGUUCCGGGGGAAGUAUGGUUGCAAAGCUGAAACUUAAAGGAAUAGACGGAAGGGCACCACCAGGAUUGGAGCCUGCGGCUUAAUUUGACUCAACACGGGGAAACUUACCCGGCCCGGACACAGGAAGGAUUGACAGAUUAAGAGCUCUUUCUUGAUUCUGUGGGUGGUGGUGCAUGGUCGUUCUUAGUUGGUGGGGCGACUUGUCUGGUUAAUUCCGAUAACGAACGAGACUCUAGCCUACUAAAUAGACGUUCCCAUCCUCUUGCGUGGGACGUUCUUCUUAGAGGGACAAGCGGCUUCUAGCCGCACGAGACAGAGCAAUAACAGGUCUUAGAUGCCCUUAGAUGUCCGGGGCCGCACGCGCGCUACAUUGAAGGAUUCAGCGUGUGCUUUCCCUGUCCGAAAGGACUGGGUAACCCGUUGAACCUCCUUCGUGCUGGGGAUUGGCGAAUGUAAUUGACGCCAUGAACGAGGAAUUCCCAGUAAGCAUGAGUCAUCAGCUCGUGCUGAUUACGUCCCUGCCCUUUGUACUCACCGCCCGUCGCUACUACUGAUUGAGUGAUUUAGUGAGGUCUUCGGACUGGCGCUCGGAUUGGCCUUCGCGGUCGAGCCGACGUGCCGGAAAGAUGACCAAACUUGAUUACUUAGAAGAAGUAAAAGUCGUAACAAGGUUUU
RNAcentral lists this ribosomal RNA (1159 nucleotides) under Cyrtarachne inaequalis. Its description in RNAcentral is "SSU rRNA". It matches the Rfam family "Eukaryotic small subunit ribosomal RNA", at positions 622 to 1803 of the family's 1831-position model. Lineage: Eukaryota; Metazoa; Arthropoda; Arachnida; Araneae; Araneidae. The record is from RNAcentral.